RNAcentral lists this ribosomal RNA (301 nucleotides) under uncultured bacterium. Its description in RNAcentral is "partial 16S ribosomal RNA". It matches the Rfam family "Bacterial small subunit ribosomal RNA", at positions 509 to 808 of the family's 1533-position model. The record is from RNAcentral.
CAGCAGCCGCGGGAAUACGUAGGUCCCGAGCGUUGUCCGGAUUUAUUGGGCGUAAAGCGAGCGCAGGCGGUUAGAUAAGUCUGAAGUUAAAGGCAUUGGCUCAACCAAUGUAUGCUUUGGAAACUGUUAGACUUGAGUGCAGAAGGGGAGAGUGGAAUUCCAUGUGUAGCGGUGAAAUGCGUAGAUAUAUGGAGGAACACCGGUGGCGAAAGCGGCUCUCUGGUCUGUCACUGACGCUGAGGCUCGAAAGCGUGGGUAGCGAACAGGAUUAGAUACCCGCGUAGUCCCUGUCUCUUAUACA